This 463-nucleotide ribosomal RNA is filed under the name uncultured archaeon. RNAcentral's name for it is "bacterial SSU rRNA". It matches the Rfam family "Archaeal small subunit ribosomal RNA", at positions 290 to 755 of the family's 1478-position model. The record is from RNAcentral.
CCGGAGAUGGGUACUGAGACACGGACCCAGGCCCUAUGGGGCGCAGCAGGCGAGAAACCUUAGCAAUGUGCGAAAGCACGACUGGGUCAGUCCGAGUGAUUCCUGAUAAAGGAGUCUUUUGCCUGUCCUAAAAGCACAGGUGAAUAAGGGGUGGGCAAGUCUGGUGUCAGCCGCCGCGGUAAUACCAGCACCUCGAGUGGUCAGGACGUUUAUUGGGCCUAAAGCAUCCGUAGCCGGCUCUGCAAGUCUUCGGUUAAAUCCACCUGCUCUACAGAUCGGCCGCUGGAGAUACCACAGAGCUAGAGAGGGGGAGAGGCAGACGGUAUUCAGUGGGUAGGGGUAAAAUCCUCUGAUCCAUUGAGGACCACCAGUGGCGAAGGCGGUCUGCCAGAGCACGUUCGACGGUGAGGGAUGAAAGCUGGGGGAGCAAACCGGAUUAGAUACCCGGGUAGUCCCAGCUGUA